AAAUUGAAGAGUUUGAUCAUGGCUCAGAUUGAACGCUGGCGGCAGGCCUAACACAUGCAAGUCGAGCGGUAGCACAGAGAGCUUGCUCUCGGGUGACGAGCGGCGGACGGGUGAGUAAUGUCUGGGAAACUGCCUGAUGGAGGGGGAUAACUACUGGAAACGGUAGCUAAUACCGCAUAAUGUCGCAAGACCAAAGUGGGGGACCUUCGGGCCUCAUGCCAUCAGAUGUGCCCAGAUGGGAUUAGCUAGUAGGUGGGGUAACGGCUCACCUAGGCGACGAUCCCUAGCUGGUCUUAGAGGAUGACCAGCCACACUGGAACUGAGACACGGUCCAGACUCCUACGGGAGGCAGCAGUGGGGAAUAUUGCACAAUGGGCGCAAGCCUGAUGCAGCCAUGCCGCGUGUGUGAAGAAGGCCUUCGGGUUGUAAAGCACUUUCAGCGGGGAGGAAGGCGGUGAGGUUAAUAACCUCAUCGAUUGACGUUACCCGCAGAAGAAGCACCGGCUAACUCCGUGCCAGCAGCCGCGGUAAUACGGAGGGUGCAAGCGUUAAUCGGAAUUACUGGGCGUAAAGCGCACGCAGGCGGUCUGUCAAGUCGGAUGUGAAAUCCCCGGGCUCAACCUGGGAACUGCAUUCGAAACUGGCAGGCUAGAGUCUUGUAGAGGGGGGUAGAAUUCCAGGUGUAGCGGUGAAAUGCGUAGAGAUCUGGAGGAAUACCGGUGGCGAAGGCGGCCCCCUGGACAAAGACUGACGCUCAGGUGCGAAAGCGUGGGGAGCAAACAGGAUUAGAUACCCUGGUAGUCCACGCCGUAAACGAUGUCGAUUUGGAGGUUGUGCCCUUGAGGCGUGGCUUCCGGAGCUAACGCGUUAAAUCGACCGCCUGGGGAGUACGGCCGCAAGGUUAAAACUCAAAUGAAUUGACGGGGGCCCGCACAAGCGGUGGAGCAUGUGGUUUAAUUCGAUGCAACGCGAAGAACCUUACCUGGUCUUGACAUCCACAGAACUUAGCAGAGAUGCUUUGGUGCCUUCGGGAACUGUGAGACAGGUGCUGCAUGGCUGUCGUCAGCUCGUGUUGUGAAAUGUUGGGUUAAGUCCCGCAACGAGCGCAACCCUUAUCCUUUGUUGCCAGCGGUCCGGCCGGGAACUCAAAGGAGACUGCCAGUGAUAAACUGGAGGAAGGUGGGGAUGACGUCAAGUCAUCAUGGCCCUUACGACCAGGGCUACACACGUGCUACAAUGGCAUAUACAAAGAGAAGCGACCUCGCGAGAGCAAGCGGACCUCAUAAAGUAUGUCGUAGUCCGGAUUGGAGUCUGCAACUCGACUCCAUGAAGUCGGAAUCGCUAGUAAUCGUAGAUCAGAAUGCUACGGUGAAUACGUUCCCGGGCCUUGUACACACCGCCCGUCACACCAUGGGAGUGGGUUGCAAAAGAAGUAGGUAGCUUAACCUUCGGGAGGGCGCUUACCACUUUGUGAUUCAUGACUGGGGUGAAGUCGUAACAAGGUAACCGUAGGGGAACCUGCGGUUGGAUCACCUCCUUA
This 1540-nucleotide ribosomal RNA is filed under the name Klebsiella pneumoniae. Its description in RNAcentral is "16S ribosomal RNA". It matches the Rfam family "Bacterial small subunit ribosomal RNA". Lineage: Bacteria; Pseudomonadati; Pseudomonadota; Gammaproteobacteria; Enterobacterales; Enterobacteriaceae. The record is from RNAcentral.